Molecule: long non-coding RNA, 2596 nt
Organism: Lagopus leucura (white-tailed ptarmigan)
Lineage: Eukaryota; Metazoa; Chordata; Aves; Galliformes; Phasianidae
Exons: 5
Source: RefSeq, a predicted model, not a curated record
AAUGAACCUGAGUGACCAGAAGGGCAGCAGCCAGGAUCCACCCCUUCCCAGCCCUCAUUUAAGGGUUGGCAUUGGAGGUGAGGGCAUCUCAUCUGGAGGUCCUUGAGUACCUGAGGCCUUUUAAAGCACUUGGGAAAAUCCUCAAAAUCUCAGCAUGGAGAAGAUCAGUGGUCUCUGGGUCUUUGACUUUGAUUUCCAGCACGUAGCCUUUGCCAAACUUGUUCUUCAGGUACUGAAUGGAGCCGAUGCACCUGCAGAUUUGCUUCCUGAGUUUAUUCCAAGGCAUCUUCUUGCUCACAGAGGGUUCUGACAUUCGGAUUUCCUCGCUACACCUUACGAUGUGGAAUAAACCCUUGACUGACCCCAGGACCACCCUCACCCCGCACCUGUUGAUGGCAGUGGCAAUGUCCUCCUUGUGCACACCCUUCACAGCAGCGUAGACCUUCAGACUCCAGCAGCCUCCUACCUGCCCAGCUGUCAGGGUUGUCUCCCCAGCUAUCAUCUUGAUGACUGUGCUCUUACCAGCUCCGUUGGGCCCCAGGAGUCCUAACACUUCUCCUGAAAUCAGUACACAGCAUUUCUUGCAGUAUAUGCUGGCUGCAAAGCUGGCCAUACAGAGGAAAGCCUCAAGAUGCCAUGCUCAGACGGCCCCGUGGCAAUACAGUUAUGACUCUUCUGCUCAUACAGGAUUUGCUGCAUCUCAAUGAAUUUACCUUGUAGUCCUGCAGAGAGCCCAUUGCAAAGUGAGGAGGGAAACCUGGGAACAGCAGCAGCAUGUAGAUAAGGUAGAAAGAGACAAAGGAAUCCCAGUAUUGUGGAUUAUCUGUCUGAAAACAGAAGAACAAAACAUUUGUAGAAAACAUCUACAGUCCAGUGGCGAGAUGCUACAGUUCAUUUCAUAGCAUUUCUUGCAGUAAAAAGGAACUUGAACUGUCUCUCAGUCUGUGACACUUACAGAAUAAAAAGGGUGGCUCCAGAUCCGGAUGUGUGCAGUGGAAUUGAAAGCUCUCAGCAGAGCAUUGCUGAUGAUGUUCACAAGCACUGGGAAGCAGUUGAUGGCCUCCAUGUGGCAGAAGAUGGUAAACCUGUAGCUCUUCAGAGAGCAAGAAACCGGGAUGAAAAUUCUUGGCCAGGAGAAUUCAGGACUAAAAUAAUAGCUGUCACUUAUGCCUUUUGUGCAAACAGCAUGUAGAAAAUCUGUAUAAUUGUGCUACACACAUGGAAUCGUCAAAUGGCUUGAGCUGGGAGGGACCUCAAAGGUCAUCCAAGUGGAGGAACAGAAUCACAAGGCCUCCUCUAGCACGUAGGUUACUGGUUAAAACACUCGCUAAUCUUUAUCCCUGUGGGCUUGAUGCAAUAAAGGUUCAGUAUAGCCAGAUGGAUCUUGUUUAAUUAGUGCACUGUUAGGAAGAAAGGUUAGGAUGGGAGCAAAAGUCCUCACCUGGCCUUCACGAGAUACUUUAAUGGCCCCAUUGUAUUUCAGCUCCUCUGUGAUAUUUUCCUUGUUUGUAAUUUCCACGGCGAGAUCUUGGCUCUCAAGGGCGUGGAUGAAGUCCUCAAUGCCUGAGCCUGAUGCGAAAGCCAAAAGCAGAGAAAUCGUAAUAGUGAGAAACAAAAGAGUCUUAGACUGUUUAUUUUUUUGAAUCCACGACCACUAAACAUAACCAGAGAAAGUCUAAUGACUGUGAAAGCCAGACAGCACGUAUGGAUUGGAUCACUGCACAGUAAUUUUAGUAAUAUUAAUGGAUGACGGCUUCAGUGACUGAAACAUUGCUUUUUUUUCCCCCCUUUUAUUCCUUCACUGAGUUGCAAAUGUCUUCUCCUGAUGAUGGUCUGACAAAGCCAACAGUAUCAUUCUCUGGCAAAAUAACAUGAAAUAGCAUCCGCUGAAAGGAAUGUCGAAGGUAGAUUUCUGGGAGGAGACUGUUAAAAUGAGCAGGAUUAAUUCUGAAAGAGCAGAAACCAUUUGGGUGGAGGUCAGGUCUUGAGGCAGGGGAAGAACGGGAUCCCCUCUCAUCCACCUGCUGGUCUCUUUCCAUGUCACUGCAUUAGGAUGUCAUCUACUGAAGCAUCAUCAGGCUUCAUUUACAGCCCAUUAAAUCAUGAGGAGCCCAGCUCACCCGUGCUGUUGAGCACCAGCAGGUUGGUGGUGUCAGCGUGAGCCCUGGUCCGCAGGGGCAGGAAGUACCGUGAUGAGCACAGCUCCCAGGCACUCAUGCUCUCCCAGACAGUUGUCAGUGACACUUGCAACAUCAGGGGGAGCAGGAAAACCACGUAGAGCAGCAAACUGCAUGGAGAGAGAGAUGAAUAAACACUUUGAAGAGAGGUAUUUUGCAGAUUGGGAUUAUGGAUUGGGAACGAUAGACUAUCUCAGCACGUCCCUUUCAUUUCUUGUGUCCCAUCUGGAAAUGUCAGCAUGGCAGACCGAAAACCAGUGGGGUCAAAUGAGUUCAGACACCGACAGCAUUAAAGAAGUACUAAAAAAAAAAGUAAUAAUUUAAAUGAAAGUCUGAAAGCAAUAUUUUCCUUCCUCGGACUGUACGUAUUAGUUCAUUGUAAAACUGCUUUCCACACCUGAAAUAAAAUUGUUCCUAAA